This 179-nucleotide ribosomal RNA is filed under the name uncultured bacterium. Its description in RNAcentral is "partial 16S ribosomal RNA". It matches the Rfam family "Bacterial small subunit ribosomal RNA", at positions 335 to 524 of the family's 1533-position model. The record is from RNAcentral.
ACUCCUACGGGAGGCAGCAGUGGGGAAUAUUGCACAAUGGGCGAAAGCCUGAUGCAGCGACGCCGCGUGCGGGAUGGAGGCCUUCGGGUUGUAAACCGCUUUCAGCAGGGACGAGGCCGCAAGGUGACGGUACCUGCAGAAGAAGCCCCGGCUAACUACGUGCCAGCAGCCGCGGUAAU